RNAcentral lists this ribosomal RNA (497 nucleotides) under uncultured bacterium. RNAcentral's name for it is "partial 16S ribosomal RNA". It matches the Rfam family "Bacterial small subunit ribosomal RNA", at positions 28 to 507 of the family's 1533-position model. The record is from RNAcentral.
GAUGAACGCUGGCGGCGUGCUUAAUACAUGCAAGUCGAGGGAACGAAGGAGAAUCGUGCUGCACUGAUGGGCGCGCGGGACGGGUGUGCAAAACAUGGAUACCGUACCUGUCAGACUGGGAUAAGUUCGGGACACCGGUGCUAAAAACGGCCAAUGUUUGGAAACGAGGGAUCUAAAAGUGACAGACGGUCUUGCGGUCACAUAUAGGUGUAUCUCGGUUGCAUUAGCUAGUUGGUAAGGUACCGGCUUACCAAGGCAACGAUGCAUAGCCGGCCUGAGAGGGUGAUCGGCCACACUGGAACUGAGACACGGUCCAGACUCCUACGGGAGGCAGCAGUAGGGAAUAUUCCGCAAUGGGCGAAAGCCUGACGCAGCAACGCCGCGUGAGUGAUGAAGGUCUUCGGAUUGUAAAACUCUGUUAUUAGGGAAGAAGAUAUGUAUAAGUAACUGUGCACAGCUUGACGGUACCUAAUCAGAAAGCCACGGCUAACUACGUG